GACCGUGUAGCUCAGUUGGAAGAGCAUUGGGCUAGUAUUCCAAAGGUCGUAGGUUCGAAUCCCAGUGUGGCCG
This is a non-coding RNA of Paramuricea clavata, 73 nucleotides long. The record is from the annotation of a GenBank genome assembly. Lineage: Eukaryota; Metazoa; Cnidaria; Anthozoa; Malacalcyonacea; Plexauridae.